AUUUACAUAAUAUAAAUAUUAUAUUUAACUUCCAAUUAAAAAAUCUAGAAAUAGUGUAAAUA
RNAcentral lists this transfer RNA (62 nucleotides) under Laccoptera ruginosa. RNAcentral's name for it is "tRNA-Gly". The record is from RNAcentral. Lineage: Eukaryota; Metazoa; Arthropoda; Insecta; Coleoptera; Chrysomelidae.